This 468-nucleotide ribosomal RNA is filed under the name uncultured bacterium. Its description in RNAcentral is "partial 16S ribosomal RNA". It matches the Rfam family "Bacterial small subunit ribosomal RNA", at positions 28 to 507 of the family's 1533-position model. The record is from RNAcentral.
GACGAACGCUGGCGGCGUGCUUAACACAUGCAAGUCGAACGGAAAGGCCCUGCUUUUGUGGGGUGCUCGAGUGGCGAACGGGUGAGUAACACGUGAGUAACCUGCCCUUGACUUUGGGAUAACUUCAGGAAACUGGGGCUAAUACCGGAUAGGAGCUCCUGCUGCAUGGUGGGGGUUGGAAAGUUUCGGCGGUUGGGGAUGGACUCGCGGCUUAUCAGCUUGUUGGUGGGGUAGUGGCUUACCAAGGCUUUGGCGGGUAGCCGGCCUGAGAGGGUGACCGGCCACAUUGGGACUGAGAGACGGCGCAGACUCCUACGGGAGGCAGCAGUGGGGAAUAUUGCCCAAUGGGCGGAAGCCUGAUGCAGCAACGCCGCGUGCGGGAUGACGGCCUUCGGGUUGUAAACCGCUUUCGCCUGUGACGAAGCGUGAGUGACGGUAAUGGGUAAAGAAGCACCGGCUAACUACGUG